GGAAGUGAAGGCAGUCUGGCUGUACCCAUUGUCACCCAUCUGUCACCUCAUUGAUCACCAGGGUGGAUUCAGCUGAUCUGGCUGGCUGGGCAGGUAUUCCCUUCCUUCUUCACACUCCAUGUGCAUUCCUCUUGAAGCUGCAUGCUUGGUCAGAGAGGAAGAUCACCCCCAAUAGAGGAGGAUCAUUUCCUCAGUCAGGUUUAUACAAGUAGCUGUGCUCCCCUGCUAGUUCUCAAGAAAGUCAUGAUGAAGGGUUGGCCAGAUAGCUUAGUAGACUAAAGCACCUGCUUAGGU
Molecule: small nuclear RNA, 294 nt
Filed under: Octodon degus (degu)
Lineage: Eukaryota; Metazoa; Chordata; Mammalia; Rodentia; Octodontidae
Description: 7SK RNA (ENSODEG00000023416.1)
Rfam family: 7SK RNA
About the family: 7SK was discovered as an abundant small nuclear RNA in the mid-70s but a possible function has only recently been suggested. Two independent studies have found that 7SK RNA binds the CDK9/cyclin T complex (known as elongation factor P-TEFb).
Source: Rfam by way of RNAcentral